CGUCCCGUAUCCGGGCGUUGACUAAGUCAAAGUCAAAGUCAACGGCGGUGGAGUCAAAGUCAAUAUGAGGCGUCGCCUAGUUGGAGAGGCGCCAAGGGGAAGCGUCGCCAAGGCAAGGCGUGGCCUAGGUGAAGGCGUCGCCCAACCAGGGCGUCGUCAGAUCAAACAAUGCUAAAGUAAGGUAAUCACGGUGUGGUUCCCCGAUACCCAUGGGUAGGAAAGACCAUGGAGGGAGCGACGCCGUGGGAAGGCCUCAGGUCCCAAUAGCACGGGGCAAUGAUAAA
Molecule: long non-coding RNA, 284 nt
Filed under: Phaseolus vulgaris (common bean)
Lineage: Eukaryota; Viridiplantae; Streptophyta; Magnoliopsida; Fabales; Fabaceae
Description: long non-coding RNA (PVUL_LNC000791)
Source: RNAcentral